CAAUAGCGUAUAUUAAAGUUGUUGCAGUUAAAAAGCCCGUAGUUGAACUUCAGGCCUGGUGGGGUGGUCCGCUUAACGGCGUGUACUGCUCUGCUGGGUCUUACCUCUUGGUGAGCCGGCGUGGCCUUCACUGGUUGCGUCGGGGAACCAGGACUUUUACCUUGAGAAAAUUAGAGUGUUCAAAGCAGGCCUAUGCCUGAAUACAUUAGCAUGGAAUAAUAAAAUAGGACGUGCGGUUCUAUUUUGUUGGUUUCUAGAGUCGCCGUAAUGAUUAAUAGGGAUAGUUGGGGGCAUUGGUAUUGAGUCGCUAGAGGUGAAAUUCUUGGAUUGACUCAAGACCGACUACUGCGAAAGCAUUUGCCAAGGAUGUUUUCAUUA
Molecule: ribosomal RNA, 378 nt
Filed under: uncultured eukaryote
Lineage: Eukaryota
Description: partial 18S ribosomal RNA
Rfam family: Eukaryotic small subunit ribosomal RNA
Source: RNAcentral